Molecule: ribosomal RNA, 253 nt
Filed under: uncultured bacterium
Lineage: Bacteria
Description: partial 16S ribosomal RNA
Rfam family: Bacterial small subunit ribosomal RNA
Source: RNAcentral
UACGUAGGGGGCAAGCGUUGUCCGGAAUCAUUGGGCGUAAAGAGCGUGUAGGCGGCCCGAUAAGUCCGCUGUGAAAGUCCAGGGCUCAACCCUGGAAUGCCGGUGGAUACUGUCGGGCUCGAAUCCGGAAGAGGUGAGUGGAAUUCCAAGUGUAGAGGUGAAAUUCGUAGAUAUUUGGAGGAAUACCGGCGGCGAAGGCGGCCUUCUGGACCGUUCCUGACACUGAGACGCGAAAGCGUGGGGAGCAAACAGG